UACGUAGGGUGCGAGCGUUAAUCGGAAUUACUGGGCGUAAAGCGUGCGUAGGCGGUGGUCCAAGUCUGGUGUGAAAUCUCCCGGCUUAACUGGGAGGGUGCGCCGGAAACUGGGCCGCUGGAGUACGGGAGAGGCAAGCGGAAUUCCAGGUGUAGCGGUGAAAUGCGUAGAUAUCUGGAGGAACACCGGUGGCGAAGGCGGCAUCCUGGACCGGCAUUGACGCUGAGGAGCGAAAGCCAGGGGAGCAAACGGG
This 253-nucleotide ribosomal RNA is filed under the name uncultured bacterium. RNAcentral's name for it is "partial 16S ribosomal RNA". It matches the Rfam family "Bacterial small subunit ribosomal RNA", at positions 524 to 776 of the family's 1533-position model. The record is from RNAcentral.